CGCGUAAGUAACCUAUCCCUAAGUGGGGGAUAACUUGCCGAAAGGCAGGCUAAUACCGCAUAUUCUGGUAAGCGUUAGCUUAUCAGCAAAGCUUUUGCACUUGGGGAGGGGCUUGCGUCUGAUUAGAUAGUUGGUAGGGUAAUGGCCUACCAAGUCUGUGAUCAGUAGCUGGUCUGAGAGGACAACCAGCCAGACGGGGACUGAGAUACGGCCCUGACUCCUACGGGAGGCAGCAGCAAGGAAUUUUGCGCAAUGGGCGAAAGCCUGACGCAGCGACGCCGCGUGGGGGAUGACGGCCUUCGGGUUGUAAACCCCUUUUCUCGAGGAAGAAAUAUGACGGUACUCGAGGAAUAAGUCUUGGCUAACUACGUGCCAGCAGCCGCGGUAAUACGUAGAAGGCGAACGUUAUCCGGAUUUACUGGGCGUAAAGAGGGUGUAGACGGUUCUUU
Molecule: ribosomal RNA, 449 nt
Filed under: uncultured bacterium
Lineage: Bacteria
Description: bacterial SSU rRNA
Rfam family: Bacterial small subunit ribosomal RNA
Source: RNAcentral